GAGUAGCUGGGACUGCAGGCGCCCGCCACCAUGCCUGGCUAAUUUUUUGUAUGUUUAGUAGAGACGGGGUUUCACCGUGUUAGCCAGGAUGGUCUCUAUCUCCUGACCUUGUGAUCUGCCUGCCUCGGCCUCCCGAAGUGCCGGGAUUACAAGCGUGAGCCACCAUUCCCGGCCCAAAGAGGAGAAGAAGUAUGAAGUGCUUGCUUGGACCUUUCUACUGUGCUUAUUAUUCUGUCUUCUCCUCAUGGCAAAAGCUGACAAACGGUUUAUAUCAGAAGGUGGAAUCGUGGGUAUGGUCGAUGUGGCAGGUCCUAAACAUAAAUUGGAUUUCUUUUUUAUUUUCAUUUAUUAAAUACAGAAGAAAUAUUUCGCUGAAGACACAGGAAACCCUAUUUUGUAUAAACGAGGGAUUGCAAGAGAUUGUUGGAAGAUCAAAGAUGGGUGAAUUGGAGCUCUUCCUGAGAACAAAAAGGAUUUAUGAAGGAAAAAGCAGCUAAUCAAAGAAGUUCUGAGUUUAAAUUCUGUUUUGUCCACUUACUAGCCAUUUGGCCUUGGGCAAGUCACUUUACUGGACCUCAGUUUCCUUGUAUGUGAAAGGUUUUGGUAAAAAUCAUAUUAGUUAAAGAAUGUAAAGAGUUUUAUAAAUUACAAAGUGAUUAAAAAAAGUAAAAUGUAUUGUUGUUUAGGAACAAUGAAAAAAAAAGAAACCUUGACAUUUUUUCUUCAAGUUCUUGCCUAAAAUGUUUAUUUGUUUGGCCCUUUUUAGAUUUAACAAAUUCUAUGUGUCUAAAUAUCAGUGUAGACCCCUUCUUACCCUACUGGAUUUAUAAGGUACUAAAAGUAGAUAUGCAUCUCUUCUGUCUUGGUUCGCUCUAAAAUGGGAUGUUUGCAAACCUCUUGGUUUUUCUUUUUUAAUAUGGAUGAAGCUUAUAUUAAUUUUUGGCUUGGUAUUAAAUUUUGUUUGGAAUA
This 969-nucleotide long non-coding RNA is filed under the name Homo sapiens (human). RNAcentral describes it as "novel transcript". Lineage: Eukaryota; Metazoa; Chordata; Mammalia; Primates; Hominidae. The record is from RNAcentral.